UUAUUUAGAACGGUUGUUCCAGGAGCCAG
This 29-nucleotide non-coding RNA is filed under the name Rattus norvegicus (Norway rat). Lineage: Eukaryota; Metazoa; Chordata; Mammalia; Rodentia; Muridae. The record is from RNAcentral.